This 253-nucleotide ribosomal RNA is filed under the name uncultured bacterium. RNAcentral's name for it is "partial 16S ribosomal RNA". It matches the Rfam family "Bacterial small subunit ribosomal RNA", at positions 524 to 776 of the family's 1533-position model. The record is from RNAcentral.
UACAGAGGUCCCAAGCGUUGUUCGGAUUCAUUGGGCGUAAAGGGUGCGUAGGCGGCGCGGUAAGUCGGGUGUGAAAUCUCGGGGCUUAACUCCGAAACUGCAUUCGAUACUGCUUUGCUUGAGGACUGGAGAGGAGAUCGGAAUUCACGGUGUAGCAGUGAAAUGCGUAGAUAUCGUGAGGAAGGCCAGUGGCGAAGGCGGAUCUCUGGACAGUUCCUGACGCUGAGGCACGAAGGCCAGGGGAGCAAACGGG